GUUUGCGGCCGCGGGGGCGGCGAAGGAUAUGGAGUAAAGCUGGAGUCAGUGGCCAGGCACGAAGGCAGAGCAAGAACAGCCAGGCGGCGUUUAUUAGGGGGGCGGGGGGAAGAGCCCCAGCACCGCCUCUCCUGGAAGAAGGAAGAGGUAACUAUAACUACCCAAUAUUGCAGCCAUGGAGUCCAUGCUUAAUAAAUUGAAGAGUACUGUUACAAAAGUAACAGCUGAUGUCACUAGUGCUGUAAUGGGAAAUCCUGUCACUAGAGAAUUUGAUGUUGGUCGACACAUUGCCAGUGGUGGCAAUGGGCUAGCUUGGAAGAUUUUUAAUGGCACAAAAAAGUCAACAAAGCAGGAAGUGGCAGUUUUUGUCUUUGAUAAAAAACUGAUUGACAAGUAUCAAAAAUUUGAAAAGGAUCAAAUCAUUGAUUCUCUAAAACGAGGAGUCCAACAGUUAACUCGGCUUCGACACCCUCGACUUCUUACUGUCCAGCAUCCUUUAGAAGAAUCCAGUACAGUUCAACAAAAGCAUGCCUUAUGGUCCAAUGUGUUAAUGAGC
This 556-nucleotide small RNA is filed under the name Pongo abelii (Sumatran orangutan). RNAcentral describes it as "processed transcript". The record is from RNAcentral. Lineage: Eukaryota; Metazoa; Chordata; Mammalia; Primates; Hominidae.